GACCUUGGGGACUGGUCUAAAAGGUGUUUUAACCUGAGCGAGAGUGCUACCGACCUUGGGAUCACCUUCAAUUGGCAUUGGAGAGCAAUUAGAGGCUUAACUUGAGUAGGGCUGAGGCUUGAUUGAGCUAAAUUUUGGGACUCUUGUGGACUGAUUUGGAGCCUAGUACUAGAGCCAUCUACAGGAGAGGCUAGGGAUCGUGGCAAGGGAG
This is a long non-coding RNA of Ananas comosus (pineapple), 211 nucleotides long. RefSeq lists it as uncharacterized. The transcript has 4 exons. The record is from RefSeq and is a predicted model, not a curated record. NCBI's taxonomy places the organism in Eukaryota, Viridiplantae, Streptophyta, Magnoliopsida, Poales, Bromeliaceae.